CAUGUCAGAUCAUUGAUAUUCUCAGCCAGACCUUGUUUUGAAAUAUGCUCUCCUCUGUCCUUUCACAAACUACAGGCUUUCACCCUCUUUGAAAAUAAGAUCACAUCAAGUCAAGGAUUCAAAAUGGGAAAAAUUCAAUCAGAGCCUCCCUCGGGCCAGCUACACAUCUCAAUACACUCGUCGGCCAGCAGAAUCGGCUCCCGCUACAACCCAGCUCAGCAUCAUCGUUCAAAACGCACCGGCAGGUCUUUGCUCACACUGUCCCAUCGCGCUGGAACCCCUGCUCACCUGGCCAGCUGCUCCUCCCCUUCGACCUGAGCUGGUAUGUCUCUUUCUCAGGGAAGCCUUCCCAGUCUCCCCUCACAUUUAUUAUUAGGAACUCCCAUAGGGAGCACCCAUUGCUCCCAUCCCUGCCUCUGAAGAGGCUGAAUCCAGGGUCACAUACCAAACAGUCCUGGCUACCAGUAUUCAGACAAGGCUGUGGGGAAGGACAACGUUGAGGGGGGGAGGAAUAUGCCCCAGAUGCGGGCAUCUCCCCAAGGGAGAUGCUGAAUCUGGUUCUGGGAAGUUAGGGGCCUCAUAGGAGGAGGGGGCUGUCCAAAAGGCAGGCAGGUGUGUGAAAUGUGCCUGAACUGUGGCCACGUGGACCCCGUGCUGUAGCCACAGCUGUGGAUGAGGACAGGCAGAGGACAAAAGGGGGUCAAGGACAGAACCACGGGACUCAUCCCAUUUUUGUCUUGGUGAAGAAAAAGGAGCCAAAAUGAGCACUUGGGAGAAGGCAGAAGAACGCAAAAAAGGUGGCUAAAAUAUAGCCCUGUGUUUUUUUAUUUAGUUCUCAGAUAAUCUUACAUUUUUUCGUUUUCACUUAGAAUAGCUGGAAAAGGAGGGCCCUACGUGGCAGUCCCUGGAUGAGAAAACCAUGUGUCAAAGCUGUUGCCGAAUCCCUCGCUCUAUUUUUACCUUCCUGACACUACCUCUUUGAGUACUGAGGAGGGCUCCUGGCCUGAGGUGGCCCCAGCUGGCAUCUCCAAGGCCAGUGUGGCCAGCCCUCACUUCGUUCUCCAGAAACCACCAAAAAGCCAGCUAUUCACUUCUCUUGAGCAGGAGUAAAUGCAUUAGACAAAUGUUCUCAGGCAAACGUAAAGGAUGUGAACACCAAAUUACUCCAUGAAUUACUUUUGUUUCCUUUCCUCAGUUCCAAUUUGGGUUGUUUUGUUGUUGUUGUUAUUGUUGUUCACAUCAGCACAACAAUUAAAGUUGGACGGUAAUUAAUGUUCUUAAAAUAGAACAUCCAUGUUCCCAAGUUUAGAAGGAAAAACCACCCGGGAGUGAAAGAACGUGGAUGUGUGUGACCUGCUGUUCCACUCGCCACAGAACCUUUUCCGAGCCUCAGUGGGGAGCGCCUGUCAGGUGGGGUUUGUGGCAGGACACACCACGACGGACCACGUCUGCGGCCGUUUUGCAUUCCGUUCCCGGCUCGAGUUCAAGGAAACCUUUGACAUCCGCGGCCAGGAGCUCUGGGGGCUCACCAACCUCUGAUUACAUUUCUUUUUUAAAAUAUUGAUGAACAGUCCCUCUAUCAUUUCGAAACACUGAGGCUGCGGCUGUUGGCUCCGUGCAAGGCCUCCUCAGGCCGCAGAGCCUCUCCCGGCACCUCAAGGCUCUGGGACGCUCUUUCAAACACUGAGAGAAGAAAACGGUCCCUCUGGGUAGGGGAGGGGGAGGUCACUUCAGGAUCCAAAAUCAGGCCUGCCCAGGCUGCAGAUGCAGGUUGGGGCAGGGGCGCCCAUUCCUACUCCCACUGCCCCACAGCCUGACGCCCCACUGCACAUCUGGUCACCUUGUCCCUGACAUGUCUGCUGCCUGGGAUGGAGAAUAGUGGGACUGGAGAGGAUCACUGCCAGUCCCAUAAGGUCCAGAAGAGCUAAGUGCCAUCCACCCCAUCUUAGAAACACCCACACAGAAGGGCCCUGCAGGCCCAGGCUGUCCCAGAGGAGCUGACUACCAUGUGGGGCUGGGUGGCGGUCCCCAUGCUCUGGGAGGACUCGGUGCCCAAUCAGCUGCUUCUUGCCCACGCUACCAGCUUGUCAUUGCCUGUCCCCAUUGACUGAGGACACCCCCAGCAGCCAGGUAUUGACAUGGCUUCUGUAGUGACCUUGUCUGGAGAAGAGCAUCUCUUUACAGAUGGGGUAUGUCAGUGAUGUCCAUGAUACCCUGAAGCUCCUGAGUGCGUGGGGCUGAGGCCAAGUUCCUGCCAUCAUCACACCUCUCCACUCUACAGCGCAGCAGAGCGGCUACUGUUGUCGCCAUUGUACAGACGCGGAAGCUGAAACUCUGAGAGAUGAAGCACACUGCCCAAGAUCACAGUGGAGGAGGUGGGAUUUGAACCCAGAUCCAUCUGAAUCUGAAGCCAGAGCGCUUCUCCAUCUACCCUGCCACAGAGUCUCCCGCGCCCACCUCCUGCCCUUGACACGUGGCCUCUGGAAGGGGCCACCCUCAAAUACAUGCGCCAUGGCCCUGGGUAAGGGAGCUCUGUGGCGGUACCAGCAGCUGUGGCGCUUCUUGUCAAGUCCUGCCCGGCUCUGCUGGGGUGCCCCCUUAGUUGGAGGCCCUUGUUGACAUGACCCAUUUGGACUGCAAUUUUAUAAGGUAAUUAUGGAUCAGUUUGGUGACCAUCAGGCCCUUCUGCUACAUCCUGGGAAAUGGACCUAACUCUGUUACAGGGUAAAUCAGAUAUAAUCAGCUCCUAAUUCAAUAUGGUGGCUCUAAGUAACAUUUAUCAAGAUACAGAAGCUGGUCCUGUGAGAUAGCCAACAGUGGUGGUUGGAUUAGACUCAGACAAGAAGAACCCAUUUGCUGACAGUUUUAAAAAUUAAGUGGAAGAGACAAACUUUUCCAGUACUGUACGUUAUUACAUACACUCGUGUGUUCCAGGCACAGACAAGGGCAUCUUUUGGAGUGGCCACCUGUACACCUCAGUCUCAUCCUGCCCGUGGCUCAUCCUUCAAAUCUUGACACAAGUGCCUGGACACCUGGAACACCUUCCUGUUCAAAAGCUAACCUGGGCGAUCAGAUGGUGGGCAGGGCUGGCUGUUGCUACCCCUUCUGUGCCCGAGGAUCCUAAAACUCUUAGCUACAGAGCUUAGGUAUAUUGGCAGACUUCCUCCCCAGCUCUGAGUGGGAUAGAAUUUCUCUUUUGAUUGGUGGUUUGGGAGUCACGUAGGCUAAAUAAUAAUCAGAUUAUUGAUUGGGUGAUCGUGAUUGGAUCUGUUACUUUUUGUUUGUUUCUUUGAGAGAGAGAGAAUGAGUGGGGGAGAAGGGCAGAGAGAGAGAAUCUUAAGCAGACUCCACACUCAAAUGUGGGAUUCAAUCCCAUGACCCUGGAAUCAUGACCUGAGCUGAAAUCAGGAGUUGGAUGCUCAACAGACCGAGCCACCCAGAUACCCUGGAUCUGUUACUUUUGCAUAGGAUCGAACUUUAUGUCCCCACUUCCUUCCCAACUGCCAGCCGAGUUGACCAAUAGCAAGGCCCACACCAGACCCAUACCAGACAGUUUUUGCAAACUUACGGAAGCAGUGGCCGUUAAGAGCCGACAAUGUUCCAUAGACUUCUACCCCAGCCUCCCCUAGCUGUAUGGGCCUGCCUUCCAGACCUCUGUGCAAGCUUCAACACCUCUUCACCCAUACUAGGGCUGGCUGGUGACCUUUGAUCCACCAAGUCCCUCGUUUGGACUCUCGCCCCCCUGUCUCCUCUCACAGUUGUUAAGGUCUAACUCCUGUAAUAAAUUCCUUAUUCCACCACACUUACAGUGAUUCUGCCUCCUUGAUUGAACCCUGAGUGAUAAAGCACCCCACCUCUUCAGAUAGGCCUCAUUUCUCUCCCCUAUAAAACGGGGAUGGUGUGAGACAUACAGGUUCCAGUAAGGGGGCUGAGUCUGGGUGGUGGGCCUGAACCUGGGACUGACGCUAGCAUGUACAUUUGUCAUAGUCUGCAGACAAGCUUCAGGCCAGCAUCAUGACUCGGUCGGGCUUUUCAUCUUAAUACCAGCUGUAGGAGCCCCAUAGAGCAGGUCACUAUGAGGUCAGUGGACACAUUUAUACUGGUGGCAGAAGAUGUGGGGUGUCCCUCCAGUAGUCAGACUGGUUAUGGAGCACUGUGGGUGAUCUGAGGGAGUAUUUAAGGCAAUGGCUGGUCGGAGCCUGAUUGGACGCUGGUGUCUUAGCCGGGAACGCAACCCUAAAUUGGAACAUCAUUCCGCCGGGAAGCCGGUGUGUGCUGAGUUAGGAGGCUUCCAAGAAGCUGCUGAGAAGAGCGAGAAAGAGCGAGAAUGGCUCUUUGGACAGAAACACACUCUGCUGACUUGCUAGUGAGGAGGCUCCGCUCCCCUGAUGACGAACUAGUCCUCCCCCUCCCCCAUCUCGGCUGGAGAGUGGAUCUAUAGAUGCUGUCUCAGGGUGGUGCAUCACCUGCUGCUGAUGUCCACGUGGCCCACUCCUUCACUGUACCCAGGUCCCCACUCGAUGCCACCCCCUUGGAAUAGCCUGUGCCACCCCAUGCAAACUUAAUGCCCCCUUCCAUCACCCUCUGUGCCCUUACCCUCCUCCAUUUUUCUUUCCAAAAUAUAACCACUUAACACAUGAUGCAUUUCCACAUGGUCUUUCUUCCUCCACUAGAAGGCGAAGCUCCAUGAAGGCAAUGCUUACGUCCGUUUUGUCCAGAGCACCUGGAACAGCACCUGGCUCAUAGCAGACACCACUGCAAAUUUGCUGCAGGUCAGAAUAAUCGCCGUGUAAAGAAAAGUGUCCUGAUCUCAUCUCUACCUGUGUCUUCAUUUGUGCUCAAAAACACCACAGAGAGCGCCCCCAGCCUGGAAGAAGGCUGCUUCUUGGUGUCAGGAAGGCUGGUUUGAUCAGUUAAGUACCAAACGUGAGUGCUCGCCGUCAGGACUUUAGUCUUUUCCUCUGAUCAUUACUCUUGAUCUUAGGAUCUGUAACCAUUUGGGAAGUGGGUUUGGUGUGAUUAAAUUCUUUUCUAACUUAAUCCUUUAUGGAAAACAAAAGUUUUAAAUGGAGUGAAUUAGAAUGGAUUUGCUGAUGUCUCAUCAUUUGCAAGAUAAUUCACCCUGUAUCAUUAUGAAAACUGGUGGCCAGGUAUCGCGCCCUGAAGAAUACUCCACUGGAUCUUCCUGUGAGGGAGGAGAGAAGGCUCCCAUCUUUACAGAGGGCCCGUGAUUAGAAGAGUUACACAGGAGUCGGAGGGGCCAAGGCUGAGAGCUGUUGGGAAAGAGAGCUGUCCAUGCCCUUUCUCUGCCAGGAAGCACAAGCCCUUCCUGGUAGGGCUGCGCCAUGGCCAGGAUGGCAGGUAGCAUUACAACCCCUGGCAUGGUUUCUCUGUUUUCUCUUCGUCUCCUCAUGACCACAGUUGGGAAAACACAAGAGUGGGUGUGCAGAGAGUGGUGCACAAGGAGGGUCUGGCAAGGGACUUUCGGUAGCAGGACUGUAGGGUCAAGUCGGGGUCUCUCAAGGAGGAGGAGGGAGUCACCUAUAUCCCUGCCAUUGAGGGACUAGCUCUGGGAGGCGGUUGUGUUUCCAGCUCAGUCCAGUACAGAAACCUGGGGGUCAUGACAGCAAGAAACAAUGUUUCCAAGAACAUAACAUAGAACAGAAACCUGUCCACCCAAACUGGAAACAAGAGGCACGGGUACUUGACCAGACCUCUCUAGUCACCUGGAACCUUGUGGGAGGCCCUGUUUUUGGCUAGAAGUGGGGAAGCUGUGAGUUUCUUCCCUGUAGCUCCAGUCACACGGUGCAGACUGGCAAGGUUCGGUGGGCCAAGCCGGGGUAGAACCUGGCUCCUACCCAGAUGUUUGGUAACUCUCAGAAAAUGGGAUUUCCCUCUUCUGCUGAUUUGAUUUUUAACUUUGGGGAUUUAUCACUUGUUUAAUCUCCAGCUUUUGGGUUCAGACAGCAGGGUUUCUUCCCCCAAGACAGGUGUUUUAAUGAGGGUUUGUGGCCACAGGCUUGGCUCUCACGGCUGCCCUGCAUCUUCAGUCUUGCUGGCCUGGCCGGCACGGUUCACACGCCUCUAGUGGCUGCCCGGCCAUGCUCCAUGAAAGGAGAUGCACAGGGGCGCCUGGGUGGCUCGGCUGGUUAAGUGUCCGGCUUUGGCUCAGGUCAUGAUCUCACGGUUUGUAGGUUCGAGCCCCACGUCGGACUCUGUGCUGACAGCUCAGAGCCUGGAUCCUGCUUCGGAUUCUGUGUCUCCCUCUCUCUCUCUGCCCCCUCCCCACUUGCGCUG
Long non-coding RNA from Acinonyx jubatus (cheetah), 6297 nucleotides. RefSeq lists it as uncharacterized. The transcript is spliced from 3 exons. The record is from RefSeq and is a predicted model, not a curated record. Lineage: Eukaryota; Metazoa; Chordata; Mammalia; Carnivora; Felidae.